ACUAUGACUCUUUCUUUCCGACUAAAAGACUUUACAACCCGAAGGCCUUCUUCACUCACGCGGCAUGGCUGGAUCAGGCUUUCGCCCAUUGUCCAAAAUUCCCCACUGCUGCCUCCCGUAGGAGUCUGGGCCGUGUCUCAGUCCCAGUGUGGCUGGUCGUCCUCUCAGACCAGCUACUGAUCGUNGCCUUGGUAAGCCUUUACCCCACCAACUAGCUAAUCAGACAUCAGCCGCUCCUUUAGCGCAAGGUCUUUCGAUCCCCUGCUUUCCUCCCCCCGUG
Molecule: ribosomal RNA, 280 nt
Filed under: uncultured Nitrosomonas sp. B2
Lineage: Bacteria; Pseudomonadati; Pseudomonadota; Betaproteobacteria; Nitrosomonadales; Nitrosomonadaceae
Description: partial 16S ribosomal RNA
Source: RNAcentral